GAUGAACGCUGGCGGCGUGCCUAAUACAUGCAAGUCGAGCGAACAGACGAGGAGCUUGCUCCUCUGACGUUAGCGGCGGACGGGUGAGUAACACGUGGAUAACCUACCUAUAAGACUGGGAUAACUUCGGGAAACCGGAGCUAAUACCGGAUAAUAUAUUGAACCGCAUGGUUCAAUAGUGAAAGACGGUUUUGCUGUCACUUAUAGAUGGAUCCGCGCCGCAUUAGCUAGUUGGUAAGGUAACGGCUUACCAAGGCAACGAUGCGUAGCCGACGUGAGAGGGUGGUCGGCCACACGGGAACUGAGACACGGUCCAGGCUCCUACGGGAGGCAGCAGAAGGGAAUCUUCCGCAGUGGGCGAGAGCUUGACGGAACAGCGGCGAGUGAGUGGUGAAGGUCUUCGGAUCGUAAAACUCUGUUAUGAGGGGAAAACAAAUGUGUAAGUAGCUGUGCACGUCUUGACGGUAACUAGUCAGAAAGCCACGGCUAACUACGUG
RNAcentral lists this ribosomal RNA (497 nucleotides) under uncultured bacterium. RNAcentral's name for it is "partial 16S ribosomal RNA". It matches the Rfam family "Bacterial small subunit ribosomal RNA", at positions 28 to 507 of the family's 1533-position model. The record is from RNAcentral.